CCUACGGGAGGCAGCAGUGAGGAAUAUUGGUCAAUGGACGAGAGUCUGAACCAGCCAAGUAGCGUGAAGGAUGACUGCCCUAUGGGUUGUAAACUUCUUUUAUAUGGGAAUAAAAUGUUCCACGUGUGGGAUUUUGUAUGUACCAUAUGAAUAAGGAUCGGCUAACUCCGUGCCAGCAGCCGCGGUAAUACGGAGGAUCCGAGCGUUAUCCGGAUUUAUUGGGUUUAAAGGGAGCGUAGGUGGAUGGUUAAGUCAGUUGUGAAAGUUUGCGGCUCAACCGUAAAAUUGCAGUUGAAACUGGCAGUCUUGAGUACAGUAGAGGUGGGCGGAAUGCGUGGUGUAGCGGUGAAAUGCUUAGAUAUCACGAAGAACUCCGAUUGCGAAGGCAGUUCACUGGACUGCAACUGACACUGAGGCUCGAAAGUGUGGGUAUCAAACAGGAUUAGAUACCCGAGUAGUC
Molecule: ribosomal RNA, 460 nt
Filed under: uncultured bacterium
Lineage: Bacteria
Description: partial 16S ribosomal RNA
Rfam family: Bacterial small subunit ribosomal RNA
Source: RNAcentral